ACCAGCUUCCUUACUUCCUUGAUGGAAAAAGAAUCGCAAAUAAGCAUAAUGUGAAGAGCAUGAGCUUUGGAAUAAGCAAGCCUGGAAUUACAAUUUUCUUUUAUUAGCUCUGUGGCUGUAAUACUCAACUUUUGCAAGCUUCAGUUUCCUCGUCUGUGAAAUGGAAUAAUAGCACUUACCUCAUUGGCUGUUGUAUGGAUUAAAUGAGACCAUGACUAUGGAUGUAUGGCAUUUGGUACCCAAUAACCCCUCAAUAAUCGGCAGCUAUAAUUAUUCAUAAUAAUAAUGGUGGUAGCAACAAACCCAGCCCAAACAUCUGAAGGACCGAUCACUAAAAAGAAGAUGAACUCAGUCCUACGUAGUAACAAGAAUGUGACAUCUAUGUUGUUGCCAAAAGUCUGGAGGAGUUGCCAGGACCAGAGAGAAGGAGGUGGUGAGGCCGGCCUGGAAGAGGGAGGGGACAGAUGUCAAGGACCCCAAUCUUGAGGUGGAAAGUUCUGUGAUUAACCCAGAUGAAUGUCUCUAACCUCCAACUCUUCUGUUCUCAGAGUUUUAAUGGGGCACACCGUGUGCUGGGCAUUGACAUAGAUGGGAAAAGCAUGACCUAAAAUAAGGGCUGGAAGCCAAGACUGGGAGGAAGGGCAAAGGGAGCAGGCAGCCUGGCACCAGGUACCAGUGAGGUGUCUGCUCUUUGUCCCCAUCACCUGUCAGCUAAGGAAUUCUGCAUGUCAUCAGUGCAAUAAAAUGUGAUCGCCAGAGUGAAAACCUUGUAAUAGACCAGCUGUGGCUUCUCUCAACACCAGUAUGUCCAAGGAGGAUGCAUUUUUAUUGCUUUUGUGGUCUUAACAAAAAAGAUUCAUGAGCAUUGUAUAAAAGGCAUAUUAAAACAAUUCGGUAAAAGGAUGAAAGAAAAAUAGAGUGCUUGUAGAUUUUUUUUCAGGACGCACACACCUAUACCUGUAUAAAAACGUUGUAUUACGGAAGCUCUC
Molecule: long non-coding RNA, 989 nt
Filed under: Homo sapiens (human)
Lineage: Eukaryota; Metazoa; Chordata; Mammalia; Primates; Hominidae
Description: HSALNT0221236
Source: RNAcentral